This 404-nucleotide ribosomal RNA is filed under the name Trieres chinensis. RNAcentral describes it as "partial Bacterial large subunit ribosomal RNA". It matches the Rfam family "Bacterial large subunit ribosomal RNA", at positions 23 to 442 of the family's 2925-position model. Lineage: Eukaryota; Bacillariophyta; Thalassiosirophyceae; Eupodiscales; Parodontellaceae. The record is from RNAcentral.
GGUGGAUGCCUUGGCUCUCAGAGGCGAUGAAGGACGUGAUAAGCUGCGAUAAGCUGCGGGAAGUUGCAAAUAAGCAUUAUAUCCGCAGAUUUCCGAAUGGGGCAACCCAGCUGGUUGAAGACCAGUUAUUCGAAAGAAGGCCAACCCGGUGAACUGAAACAUCUAAGUAGCCGGAGGAAAAUAAAACAAUAGUGAUUCUCCUAGUAGUGGCGAGCGAACGGGGAUUAGCCCAAACCAAAGUUGUUUCGGCAAUUUUGGGGUUGUAGGACUGUAAUAUGGACUCUGUAUUUUUAGUAGAACAGCGAUGGAAACGCUACCAUAGAGGGUGAUAGUCCCGUAAACGAAAAAAAUGCAGUACCUAACAGUAUCCUGAGUAGGGCGGGACACGUGAAAUCCUGUCUGAA